GAUGAACGCUAGCGAUAGGCUUAACACAUGCAAGUCGAGGGGCAGCAUGGUCUUAGCUUGCUAAGACUGAUGGCGACCGGCGCACGGGUGCGUAACGCGUAUGCAACUUGCCUCACAGAGGGGGAUAACCCGUCGAAAGACGGACUAAUACCGCGUACACUCCAUCUUGGGCAUCCAAGGUAGAGGAAAUGAAAUUCGCUGUGAGAUAGGCAUGCGUCCCAUUAGCUAGUUGGUGAGGUAACGGCUCACCAAGGCGACGAUGGGUAGGGGAACUGAGAGGUUGAACCCCCACACUGGUACUGAGACACGGACCAGACUCCGACGGGAGGCAGCAGUGAGGAAUAUUGGUCAAUGGGCGAGAGCCUGAACCAGCCAAGUCGCGUGAAGGAUGACUGUCUUAUGGAUUGUAAACUUCUUUUAUACGGGAAUAACAAGAGUCACGUGUGACUCCCUGCAUGUACCGUAUGAAUAAGCAUCGGCUAACUCCGUG
RNAcentral lists this ribosomal RNA (490 nucleotides) under uncultured bacterium. Its description in RNAcentral is "partial 16S ribosomal RNA". It matches the Rfam family "Bacterial small subunit ribosomal RNA", at positions 28 to 507 of the family's 1533-position model. The record is from RNAcentral.